UGUCAAGCACAGUUAAUUAUAUUUACUAGAAGUCUCUCACCUCUCAUACUCAUGCACCUUAAUCAUACACACAGAGGAAAUCUAUAAAGGUCUAGAAUAAAAGGAUUGUGCUUAAAUGCUGCUUUUAGGACACAAAGAUAUAUCUGAGAUUUUGAAAAUAAGUCAGUGAUUAACUGGGACUGCAUUGUAAAUGGGAUUUAUUUCAUGAGGAUCUAAAAGGACCUUUGGGGAUAUUGAAAACUUUAUCUUGAUUGUAGCAGUGGAUGCUUUAAUGUACACAUCUGUUAAAACUAUAUCUUCUAUUGGCCAAAUUCAGCAGUUUGAUUUGCAAGGAUCUCUUGAAGCAGACUCUGGGUUUAGCCUCUUCAGACGAAAAGCAGCGUGGAGAAGAUGGACGGUAGCAUUGGAGGUGGUCCAGUGUCAGCACCACAGACAGUUUGCAGUCAUAUCAGAAGCAACAAAUGAGAAACAAGGAUGGCGUAUCAACAUAGAUUUGAUAAUCAUCAUUUUAUGAGAAAGCACAAUGCAUAUAACAUAGAAAUCAUCUAAAAGAAGAGUCAUUGAUGUCAUCCACACUCUGCAAGUUAAGAAAAAUUCCUCUGGGUAAAUCUUACGUUAUUGAAAUAUGCCACUUGAAGUGUGUAUAGCAAAUGUAAAAUGAGAAGACAGGAAU
Molecule: long non-coding RNA, 673 nt
Filed under: Mustela putorius furo (domestic ferret)
Lineage: Eukaryota; Metazoa; Chordata; Mammalia; Carnivora; Mustelidae
Description: lncRNA (ENSMPUG00000026148.1)
Source: RNAcentral